AACUUGAAUUCACUUUAGGCGGUGGANCACUUGGNUCGUGCGUCGAUGAAGAACGCAG
RNAcentral lists this ribosomal RNA (58 nucleotides) under Plectostoma concinnum. Its description in RNAcentral is "partial 5.8S ribosomal RNA". The record is from RNAcentral. Lineage: Eukaryota; Metazoa; Mollusca; Gastropoda; Architaenioglossa; Diplommatinidae.